GGACCUACAGGGGGCAGCAGUGGGGAAUAUUGGGCAAUGGGCGCAAGCCUGACCCAGCAACGCCGCGUGAAGGAAGAAGGCUUUCGGGUUGUAAACUUCUUUUGACAGGGAAGAGCAGAAGACGGUACCUGUCGAAUAAGCCACGGCUAACUACGUGCCAGCAGCCGCGGUAAUACGUAGGUGGCGAGCGUUGUCCGGAAUUACUGGGUGUAAAGGGAGUGUAGGCGGGAAAGCAAGUCAGAAGUGAAAACUAUGGGCUUAACCCAUAGCCUGCUUUUGAAACUGUUUUUCUUGAGUGAAGUAGA
RNAcentral lists this ribosomal RNA (305 nucleotides) under uncultured bacterium. Its description in RNAcentral is "bacterial SSU rRNA". It matches the Rfam family "Bacterial small subunit ribosomal RNA", at positions 333 to 655 of the family's 1533-position model. The record is from RNAcentral.